AGAGUUUGAUCAUGGCUCAGAUUGAACGCUGGCGGCAGGCCUAACACAUGCAAGUCGAGCGGUAGCACAGAGAGCUUGCUCUCGGGUGACGAGCGGCGGACGGGUGAGUAAUGUCUGGGAAACUGCCUGAUGGAGGGGGAUAACUACUGGAAACGGUAGCUAAUACCGCAUAAUGUCGCAAGACCAAAGUGGGGGACCUUCGGGCCUCAUGCCAUCAGAUGUGCCCAGAUGGGAUUAGCUAGUAGGUGGGGUAACGGCUCACCUAGGCGACGAUCCCUAGCUGGUCUGAGAGGAUGACCAGCCACACUGGAACUGAGACACGGUCCAGACUCCUACGGGAGGCAGCAGUGGGGAAUAUUGCACAAUGGGCGCAAGCCUGAUGCAGCCAUGCCGCGUGUGUGAAGAAGGCCUUCGGGUUGUAAAGCACUUUCAGCGGGGAGGAAGGCGNNNNNNNNNNNNNNNNNNNNNNNNNNNNNNNNNNNNNCGAUUGACGUUACCCGCAGAAGAAGCACCGGCUAACUCCGUGCCAGCAGCCGCGGUAAUACGGAGGGUGCAAGCGUUAAUCGGAAUUACUGGGCGUAAAGCGCACGCAGGCGGUCUGUCAAGUCGGAUGUGAAAUCCCCGGGCUCAACCUGGGAACUGCAUUCGAAACUGGCAGGCUAGAGUCUUGUAGAGGGGGGUAGAAUUCCAGGUGUAGCGGUGAAAUGCGUAGAGAUCUGGAGGAAUACCGGUGGCGAAGGCGGCCCCCUGGACAAAGACUGACGCUCAGGUGCGAAAGCGUGGGGAGCAAACAGGAUUAGAUACCCUGGUAGUCCACGCCGUAAACGAUGUCGAUUUGGAGGUUGUGCCCUUGAGGCGUGGCUUCCGGAGCUAACGCGUUAAAUCGACCGCCUGGGGAGUACGGCCGCAAGGUUAAAACUCAAAUGAAUUGACGGGGGCCCGCACAAGCGGUGGAGCAUGUGGUUUAAUUCGAUGCAACGCGAAGAACCUUACCUGGUCUUGACAUCCACAGAACUUUCCAGAGAUGGAUUGGUGCCUUCGGGAACUGUGAGACAGGUGCUGCAUGGCUGUCGUCAGCUCGUGUUGUGAAAUGUUGGGUUAAGUCCCGCAACGAGCGCAACCCUUAUCCUUUGUUGCCAGCGGUCCGGCCGGGAACUCAAAGGAGACUGCCAGUGAUAAACUGGAGGAAGGUGGGGAUGACGUCAAGUCAUCAUGGCCCUUACGACCAGGGCUACACACGUGCUACAAUGGCAUAUACAAAGAGAAGCGACCUCGCGAGAGCAAGCGGACCUCAUAAAGUAUGUCGUAGUCCGGAUUGGAGUCUGCAACUCGACUCCAUGAAGUCGGAAUCGCUAGUAAUCGUAGAUCAGAAUGCUACGGUGAAUACGUUCCCGGGCCUUGUACACACCGCCCGUCACACCAUGGGAGUGGGUUGCAAAAGAAGUAGGUAGCUUAACCUUCGGGAGGGCGCUUACCACUUUGUGAUUCAUGACUGGGGUGAAGUCGUAACAAGGUAACCGUAGGGGAACCUGCGGUUGGAUCACCU
Molecule: ribosomal RNA, 1546 nt
Filed under: Klebsiella pneumoniae
Lineage: Bacteria; Pseudomonadati; Pseudomonadota; Gammaproteobacteria; Enterobacterales; Enterobacteriaceae
Description: 16S ribosomal RNA
Rfam family: Bacterial small subunit ribosomal RNA
Source: RNAcentral